This 599-nucleotide ribosomal RNA is filed under the name Salmonella enterica subsp. enterica serovar Typhimurium. Its description in RNAcentral is "partial 23S ribosomal RNA". It matches the Rfam family "Bacterial large subunit ribosomal RNA", at positions 665 to 1270 of the family's 2925-position model. Lineage: Bacteria; Pseudomonadati; Pseudomonadota; Gammaproteobacteria; Enterobacterales; Enterobacteriaceae. The record is from RNAcentral.
GCCGUAGGGAAACCAAGUCUUAACAGGGCCAGAGUCAGUGGGGGCAGACCCGAAACCGGGUGAUCUAUCCAUGUCCAGGUUGAAGCUGCCGUAAGAGGCAGUGGAGGACCGAACCCACAUCCGUUGAAAAGGGUGGGGAUGAGGUGUGGAUAGGGGAGAAAUUCCAAUCGAACCCGGAGAUAGCUGGUUCUCCUCGAAAUAGCUUUAGGGCUAGCCUCGGUGUGAGUCUUGCGGAGGUAGAGCACUGAAUUUCCUAGGGGGCGUCAAAGCCUACCGAAGAAUAUCAAACUCCGAAUGCCGCGUAAUCGAUUAUCGGGAGUCAGACUGCACGAGAUAAGUUGGGCGGUCAAAAGGGAAAGAGCCCAGACCUACAGUUAAGGUCCCAAAGUGCGCGUUAAGUGGAAAAGGAUGUGGGGAUUCUAAGACAACUAGGACGUUGGCUUAGAAGCAGCCAUUCAUUGAAAGAGUGCGUAAUAGCUCACUAGUCGAGAGUCCCUGCGCCGAAAAUGUCCGGGGCUGAAACACGACACCGAAGCUUAGGAAUGUGUAAACAUUGGUAGAGGAGCAUUGCUGGCGGGAUGAAGCCAUACCGUAAGGAG